This 98-nucleotide small nuclear RNA is filed under the name Vulpes vulpes (red fox). Lineage: Eukaryota; Metazoa; Chordata; Mammalia; Carnivora; Canidae. The record is from RNAcentral.
GUACUUUCCUCAGCAGUACAUAUACUAAAAAACUAGAAUGAUAGAGAAGAUUAACAUGACCCCUGUGCAUGCAAAUUCGUGAAGUAUUCCAUACGAAA